AUGAGAUGCUCUUCAGGAGGGAGCACAGGACACGCGUCCUCAGGAGUCAGGACGCGGCCCACACCGUCCUCACCAGCUGUGUGCUGCGGCUCACAGUUCCCAUCCAUACUGAGAGUGAGGGCACUGCAGUGCCUCGUUCCCAAAUGGAGCAGCUUUAUCCCGGGAGCUUGUUCAGCUCCGAAGGUCCUUCUUUCACUACCUACGUCCCAGGAGGACAGAGCAAUUAAAAGUGAAAGCUUCUGGAGCGGCACUCACAAUGCUAUCCAGGCAGAAGCACCAGGAGCUGGGUGUCACACAGGAGGUCGCAGAUCAGAGAUCCUGAGUGCAGACCCCAGCUGUUAAACCCUGGAAAAUGGGUAGACUCAGAAAUGGGAUUUGGAACUCACUUUCCUGUUCACCUCUGCCUGCAGUGAUGCUUGUCUAAGGCAGAGAAAGGGUUGACUGUAGAAAUAGUCCUGAAAUCAAAGUUCCAGCCUGGAAAUUUUACUUCUAUGAGUUUUGAAAUCAAAGACAUAGAAAGAGAAAGCAGGAAAACUAUAAGACACAUCAUGGACCUUCUCAUGCUCCUUUUUAAAAACUGUUUUAUGAAAUUUUAAUACCAUACCUAAUCUAGCUUCCCUUCUAAUUCUUCUGAGUUCCCAGCCAUGACGCUGGCUCUUGUCUGCUGCUCUUCUCCUCUUUGCUCCUCCCUAGGACAACCGUGGGCUCAGUUUCCCACCAGGGUAAACCUUUCAGUGGUCACCAAAUCCUACUAGUUCGUAUUGCGUGACGACCUCGCGAAUCGAGCACCGCCUAGCUCACAAAGUGAAAGCGUUUCUUCUCCCGGGAGAAUGGUGCAGCCGCACGGCCUUGACCUCGUGUCAGGUGAGAGGUCACUCACAAGGCCAAGGGGAGGACUCCUGCCACGGUUAAUCCCAGAGUGUUAGGAGCCUCAAGAGCAAAAAUGAAGAGCUGUGUGAUGGCCACCCGCGGCCCCAGCCGCCAGCAGGUGCACUGCAAAGCAUCUUCCUGUGCUGAGUAUUUGCUGUCUUUUAUCUUAACCCACGCAACAAAUGGCCGAAAAUAACUCAAGUACGCUGCAGAAGGCGCGCGCUAAGAAAGCUAACCCUGCCAGCAGCAUUGCUCCGUUGGAUCUCAGAGCGAGCGUCUCUCCUUUAAGCACGUGUGCGCAAGGCUACACAUGUGUCUGUUAGUAAAGGGGUUCAUGUUAUUUUGACUGAGUCACUACGUGAAGUUGAAACUAAUCAACCACCUCACACUAAUUUUCUUUCAUCGGGUAGCCAAGAUAUUCUGUUCUCAUUAUGGAUCAGUGGAAUUUUCCCUAAUUAUAAAAUUUAAAGUGAUUGUCGCCUUGUCCUAUAGUUUUCUACAAUCUGAUGUUUUUAAAAGCUUGUUUAGAAAAAGUUGUAUUUCAAGACCGUUUUAAAUAUAUGCACUGAUUAAAACAUUUGCAAAGACUGUCUAGUCAAGUAGUUUUCGUUUGACUUUCUCUAGAGCAAAAAUUUCAGAGUUUGUGCCUUUAACUCAGGACCGGACUAAAUUUAAUAUUGAAUUAACAGGUCAUUUGUUAUUUAAUGAUGUAAAGUUCCAGUAAAAAUCACGGCUUACGGUACCUUAAAAUAUACUUAACACAACAUUUUGAAAGGUAGAGCUCUUAUUUUCCUUCAUGGGCACUUACAAAUUAUAGUUGAAUGAGUGCGUGAAUAUAAAUAGGCCUUUUCUCCUGACGAGAGGCGUUACCCUCGACCUGGACCCCUUCCUGCUCAAGUAAUUACCCCAAGCCUUUUAAAAUGAUCCUGAAGUUCUAAUUAGACACAAUCUUCUUUGCUUCCUAUUGUAAACUGCUGCCUUGAGUGCUGGUCUGAGGUGGGUUUCAAAGCCAUUGCCCUUCCCCCAGCAUCCUGAAGGUGCUGUGACUGCUAAUUACUACCCCCAAUACUUCAGCACCGCAGGGUCUGAAAGGGGGCCACGGAAUUGCAGCGUCUUACUGUCUUCUCCACCACUUCCCAAGGCCUGUGCAGCUUGGCGAAGUAAAGCCGAGAAGGGAAAGUCGACAUGUCUGGACAGCCACGGUGCAUAUCGCCGUACUACUGCGGGUCCCCCCGCCCCCGAAUAUUGCUCUAGGUCCUACUGGGCCAGGAAGGAGGGAGCUUGGAGCCAGAUGCUGAAUCAGUUUGCAAGUGUGAAUGAUUAUGUUAUUAACAGUUUACUGGAGAAGGACAGCACCUGCAACUGUGAAUCAUCUUAAUCAACUUAAUAGACUGUUUUAAAAUCGGUGCAAUGAAAGGAACACCAAGCCCGACAGAAUGUGCCCGAAAUGAAACAGUGUGGAACAGAAUCGUGAAAUGUGCAUGUUCACAAACUGACGGUGAAUUCUCUACAAUGCUUUCUCGUGGCAGCUAUUCGAACAUAAGCUACGAUGUCCUGGAAUAUCCUCUGAACAUUCCUGGGAAUAUACACAAUCAGCAUGCAAUUCCUAUGUUGAUGCUACUUUAGGUGCGUGUGAUAUGUACAGAAAAUGUGAACGUAUCUUAGGCAAUUACUUUAAAAUACUAACAGGGAUUCCAUGUUCUUUAUGUAUGUUUAUAUAGACCUGUCAUAACUUUGUUCCCAUACUUACCACCUUGACCCUCAACUGCAGGCCACACCUGAGCUGUCCGAAGCCCAUUCACCCCGUGGCCUCCGGCCGGCUCGGAAGCUCUCUCCCUGGGUGCUGUGUGAGAGACAGCCCUGUUGUUCCUCAGCUCACUGACCCCGUGGCCAGCAGGUCUCAUACUUGACCACAGUGAGAUGAAGCGACCAUCGCAGAGCUGUGUAAGCCGGCUUCCUCCUUUACCUGUGCCUCCUCCAAACUAACACAGCCAGCACCUCUUACAGGAAGCCUCAAAGGUAAUUUUCAUGCACAGAUCCUCUUCCUCCCUGCGCUGUUCCCUCUCUCCCUCUUCUGCCUUGGGAUUUCCCACCCACUCCCAUAACCUAGCUCGGACUGUACAUGAUACUUUUCUUCCACUUAAUGGGUUUUGAUUUCACUUCCUUGUUUAUCUCACUUGAUAUGCACACACUUUCCUUUUGAUCAGGGAUUCUCCCAGCAAGUGGCUUUGUAGGAAUUAACCGGAUACAGUUAGCAAGAGUCACAAGGUCACUGCCAAGUUAGCUGAGGGUCCCAUGAGAGGCAUACCUGGUUACAGGUGUGACAUUACGGCUCUAGAUCAAGAAGCGAAACUUAAAGGGUGUACUGCAAAGGUCCUCAACCAAAUCCCUUAAAUUUUUGCCCAGGGCAGGGCAGAUCUUUUGGCCACUCUCAGGACAGUGAAUGAAAGACCAAAUCCAAUGGAAACUGUCCCAAUGAGAAUCACCAC
Long non-coding RNA from Fukomys damarensis (Damara mole-rat), 3359 nucleotides. Lineage: Eukaryota; Metazoa; Chordata; Mammalia; Rodentia; Bathyergidae. The record is from Ensembl.